Molecule: ribosomal RNA, 442 nt
Filed under: uncultured bacterium
Lineage: Bacteria
Description: bacterial SSU rRNA
Rfam family: Bacterial small subunit ribosomal RNA
Source: RNAcentral
UGAGGAAUAUUGGUCAAUGGACGAAAGUCUGAACCAGCCAUGCCGCGUGAAGGAAUAAGGCCCUAUGGGUCGUAAACUUCUUUUGUAUGUGAGCAAUAAGGUCCACGAGUGGUCCGAUGAGAGUAGCAUACGAAUAAGCAUCGGCUAACUCCGUGCCAGCAGCCGCGGUAAUACGGAGGAUGCAAGCGUUAUCCGGAUUCAUUGGGUUUAAAGGGUGCGUAGGCGGCUUGGUAAGUCAGCGGUGAAAUUCCAGUGCUCAACCGGGUCAGUGCCGAUGAUACUGGGGGUCUUGAAUGCGGUCGAGGCCGGCGGAAUGUGGCGUGUAGCGGUGAAAUGCAUAGAUAUGCCACAGAACACCGAUAGCGAAGGCAGCUGGCCGGGCCUGCAUUGACGCUGAGGCACGAAAGCGUGGGGAUCGAACAGGAUUAGAUACCCUGGUAGU